This 1062-nucleotide long non-coding RNA is filed under the name Macaca fascicularis (crab-eating macaque). RNAcentral's name for it is "lncRNA (ENSMFAG00000062449.1)". Lineage: Eukaryota; Metazoa; Chordata; Mammalia; Primates; Cercopithecidae. The record is from RNAcentral.
UUUUUUUUUUUUUUCUGUUGAGACAGGGUCUUGCUCUGUUGCCCAGGCUGGAGUGCAGUGGCAUGAACAUGACUCACUGUAGCCUUGAUAUCCUAGGCUUCAACAAUCCUCUCAUGUCAGCCUCCUGAGUAGCUAGGACCACAAGCACGCACCACCACACUCUACUAUUUUUAAACAUUUUUGCAGAGAUGAUGUCUCACACUGUUGCCCAGGAUGGUCUCAAACUCCUGCGCUCAAGCCAUCCUCCUGCCUUAGCCUCCCACGGUGCUGGGAUCACAGGUAUGAGCCUCCACACCAAGCCUGUUUUUCUGUCUUCUUAGAAGAACAUCAGUCAUUGGAUUAGGAAGCACCCUUAUCUAGGAGGACCUUAUGCUAACAUGAUUAUACCUGUGGAGCUCCUGUUUUGAAAUAAGGUCACAUUCUGAGGUUCUGGGUCUUUUGAGGGACUCACUUUUCUACUCAGUAUACACAGUGAUAGUUGCAUAGAUGGAGCAUAAAGCAAAAAUCAUGCGUGGUCAAAAUGAGCCUCGAAAACCGCUUGAAAAGGAGACAAAAGGGCUUGUUGUGCAGCUCUUUCUCUAUGAGGGAAGAAAUGCUUUCUCAGAGACCCUGGCGGACUCUCCCUACUCGUCAUUGGUCAGAACUGUGUCACAUGUUUCCUCUGGAUGAGUCAUUGGCCAAAGGAAUGAGACAGCCUUGCUCGGCUUGGUCCAAUCAUGAUUCAUUGCCUGGGACUGGGAACAUCGUCACCUGUAACAAAAUCAAUGCAAGCAAAGAGCCGUAAAUGAACUGAUUCUGCUGGGUAGACGGUUUGCCAAAAUGGCCUCAAUUCUCCCCCUUUCUGUAUCCACGCUCCUUGUAAUUUGACUUUGCAGCUCCUUCAUAAACACGUGGAGCCUAUUUCAAAACUAUGCACCUCUUAAAUGUGAGGCAUCCCUACAGCAGGAUAUUACACAUAGCCCUUAAAAGAAGGAAGCGUUGAUCCACACCACAGUAUGGAUGCAUCUUGAGAACAUCAUGCUAAGAGUGAAGAAAGCCAGAUACAAAGGGCCUCCUAUUCUA